This 468-nucleotide ribosomal RNA is filed under the name uncultured bacterium. RNAcentral's name for it is "partial 16S ribosomal RNA". It matches the Rfam family "Bacterial small subunit ribosomal RNA", at positions 28 to 507 of the family's 1533-position model. The record is from RNAcentral.
GACGAACGCUGGCGGCGUGCUUAACACAUGCAAGUCGAACGGAAAGGCCCUGCUUUUGUGGGGUGCUCGAGUGGCGAACGGGUGAGUAACACGUGAGUAACCUGCCCUUGACUUUGGGAUAACUUCAGGAAACUGGGGCUAAUACCGGAUAGGAGCUCCUGCUGCAUGGUGGGGGUUGGAAAGUUUCGGCGGUUGGGGAUGGACUCGCGGCUUAUCAGCUUGUUGGUGGGGUAGUGGCUUACCAAGGCUUUGACGGGUAGCCGGCCUGAGAGGGUGACCGGCGACAGUGGGACUGAGAUACGGCCCAGACUCCUACGGGAGGCAGCAGUGGGGAAUAUUGCACAAUGGGCGGAAGCCUGAUGCAGCAACGCCGCGUGCGGGAUGACGGCCUUCGGGUUGUAAACCGCUUUCGCCUGUGACGAAGCGUGAGUGACGGUAAUGGGUAAAGAAGCACCGGCUAACUACGUG